AACUAUGUAGACUGGGCUAGCCUU
Molecule: non-coding RNA, 24 nt
Filed under: Cricetulus griseus (Chinese hamster)
Lineage: Eukaryota; Metazoa; Chordata; Mammalia; Rodentia; Cricetidae
Source: RNAcentral